UAGAAGAAUUACCAAGCAGGUAGAAGAGGUUGCAUAUGAUAAAAAGUAUUUUUUCCAGAGACUCCCAACUGACUUAGUGUCCAGAACUUCAGCCAUGAAAGAAGCUGAGAAACUCUGAAAGGAGUAAAGAGUGCUCUAAAGAACACCUACACUGGGACUGAGGGAGAGUACCCAAGGGAGAGAUAAAUCUCAAGGCUUGGAUUUGGACCUCAUUGGAGAAGCAUGUUUUGUGGGAAGACUAUGUAGUUAUCUUGAGUCCUACGAAUUUCUACAUAUUUUCCUUUGGCUUUGCAAGAAAAAGGCAUUGACGGAGGAAGAAUAGGAGCGGGUUGAGGAGGACAAAGGAAUAAGGAGAAGAAGAAAGAUUGAGAGGAAGAGAGAGAGGAAGAAGGAACAAACCCACUCAAGCUGUCAGCCAACAUCAGGAAGGACUAGUGAAAAGACCUAGAGGCAAGGGCUUAAAAUAGCCUCUGGGAACCAAGACAGAAGCACAAACAUUAGCCAGUGGCUGAGUCUACUGCCAUGAGGAUUAAGAACAAAAGGAUAUGGAAUUGUUUUCCACAUGUUUGGUGAGGGGAAGAAAAAGAACAAAUGAAUAUGCGAAACAAGUGUGAAUAAAUGAACAAGAUACAUAAAAGUUAUAGAAUCUACAUGAUUGAGAUGUGCAGAUGGAUAGACUGUAGGAAGAAAAAAAGGGCAGGUGCACAUUAGGAGCUCAGGAAGAUUUUGUUCUUACGGUUUCUUCCCAAGUACAAAUGGCCAUGAUGUAACAGCCCUGCUGUAUGUAGUCAUGUACGCUGAACAAGAGGCAUCAUGUUUGAUAACUGUUUGCUGCGAGAGGAUUCAUUUCA
This is a non-coding RNA of Globicephala melas (long-finned pilot whale), 851 nucleotides long. The record is from RefSeq and is a predicted model, not a curated record. NCBI's taxonomy places the organism in Eukaryota, Metazoa, Chordata, Mammalia, Artiodactyla, Delphinidae.